RNAcentral lists this small RNA (91 nucleotides) under Arabidopsis thaliana (thale cress). RNAcentral's name for it is "ATSL001590". The record is from RNAcentral. Lineage: Eukaryota; Viridiplantae; Streptophyta; Magnoliopsida; Brassicales; Brassicaceae.
UAAUAUUUUUAUUUUAUAGUUUACAAUUGUUACUAAGUAACGUCCUGCCAAACCCGUCCCGCUAAAUCCGUCCACCAAAAAAACUAUUUAU